GAUCAUGGCUCAGGAUGAACGCUAGCGACAGGCUUAACACAUGCAAGUCGAGGGGCAGCGAGGCGUAGCAAUACGCCUGUCGGCGACCGGCGCACUGGUGAGUAACACGUAUGCGACCUGCCCCCUACAGGGGGUAUAACCCGUAGAAAUGCGGACUAAUCCCCCCAUAGUCCUGGGUGCUGCAUGGCAUUCAGGGGAAAGGCCAGCCGGUAGGGGAUGGGCAUGCGGCGCAUUAGCUAGUUGGCGGGGCAACCGGCCCACCAAGGCGACGAUGCGUAGGGGUUCUGAGAGGAAGUUCCCCCACACUGGUACUGAGACACGGACCAGACUCCUACGGGAGGCAGCAGUGAGGAAUAUUGGUCAAUGGGCGAGAGCCUGAACCAGCCAAGUAGCGUGCAGGACGACGGCCCUAUGGGUUGUAAACUGCUUUUAUAAGGGAAUAAAGUGGGUCACGUGUGACUUUUUGCAUGUACCUUAUGAAUAAGGACCGGCUAAUUCCGUG
RNAcentral lists this ribosomal RNA (502 nucleotides) under uncultured bacterium. RNAcentral's name for it is "bacterial SSU rRNA". It matches the Rfam family "Bacterial small subunit ribosomal RNA", at positions 15 to 507 of the family's 1533-position model. The record is from RNAcentral.